Molecule: long non-coding RNA, 1249 nt
Filed under: Nicotiana tabacum (common tobacco)
Lineage: Eukaryota; Viridiplantae; Streptophyta; Magnoliopsida; Solanales; Solanaceae
Description: long non-coding RNA (NTAB_LNC014190)
Source: RNAcentral
GUAUUAGUGCACUUGUCAGAAGAAACAAAAUGAUACUCUUAGGCAACGAGACUACUUUUUAUUGAACUUGUACAUACAUAACAAAUUUAAUAUAAAACUGCAAAUAAACGAGUAUUACAAUCAGAUUUUGCCUCAAUUUUUUCUCUUUCAUUUCUCAAUUUUUCUCUCGAAUUUUAAGACUAUUCGUUGCUCUUGUUUAACCGCGACAUCCAAUUUCUCCAAUUUGCUUCUCAUUGUUGCAACGAUCUUUAAAUUAUACUUCGCGAUCAACCACUUUUCCUGAGAGAUUUUGAAUCACAUGAAGGAUCUUACAUUAUGCUAUUCCACCGUUGCUGCAACAAAGAGAAAAAAUUUAAAUAUCUUUCCGAAUGAAAUGGUCUUUGAUGUAAACUUGUAACUAGAAAAAUAUUUUCUUUUGCGGCAGAAAAUGUAGUUAUCGAAUGUAGACUUCUGAAACUAACAAUUCUAAUUCUAGAUGAAGAACUUCUAAACUAAUAUCCUCUUCUCCAAUAUUUUCUUUUGGGGGCAAAAUGAGUGCAACAUUGGGUUUAUUCAAACCAGAACGAGGAAAAAAAAUUUAGUAUAUCUUUCUGACAUUUCAACAAACAAGUAAGGGACUUGGUUACUUCUAAUUGUCCUUUACACAUGCAGUAAUCUUUGUCAAAUUAAAGUGAGAAGACGUACGGUAAAAAGCAAAUACAUUAACCAACUAAUUCAGUUUGAGAUAUAGCAAAAAUCUCAAUAGAAUUGAAAAAUCUCUAACUUUUUGACUAUUGAUUCUUUACCUUGUUUGUGAGGCGUGAAACAAUAGCCCUUGCUUCUCUUUUUGCUCGGGAAUAUGCCCUAGAUAAUUCUCUGAAGUUCAUAUGGAAAGAAACUUUAUUUUUUGAUGCCUUGAUCUUUUUUUGUGAAGGUGGAAGACGAUGGACAGGAGGGGCAUUCUUGAAAAUUUUAGGGGAAAACUCACGUGUUUGGCAUGCUCUUUUGCUUAUCCCUUAGUUUUCUUGACAAAAAUUAAGGAAAGAAUGAUUCUUGCAAUAGUUUAAAUAGUUUAAGGAUAUUUUUUUUCACUAAAACAUCACAGGGAUGUACUUUAGGUUUGGGCUAUAAUUCAAGGUUAUUUUUGCCAAAAAACUCUAAUAACAACUAACAAAGGUGCAAAAGGAAUCAAGUUAGUUUGUUUUAAGGCGUUCACGUGUUACAAAUAGCUGUAAGUUGUGCUUAACCCCCUCUCACUGUUUCCUUGCAA